AGAAAUAGAGAACGAGUCUGCUGAACUGCAAGUAAGGAUUCGGGAAGUAAUGGUGGAGAUUUCAAGAUCCAGGAGUCAGUCAUAUUUGCAAUGGCUGAGAGAUGCUAGGAAGAUGCAAGAUAACUUGACCAGACUGCAAAACGAUGUGAGGACUACCAUCAAAAUUUUAAAAGGAAGGUCCAUAAAGCAAUUGCUGAUGAGAAGUUACUUCAACAGGUCAACGUUGGUGCCCAAACAGUCCACAGAAACAUUCCCAAGAGGUUUCUACUCUUCUCCUGACAUUCCAUCAAUGCUUGAAGACCUGGAAUUCAAAUCUGCCCAGAAAUGGAAGAGCGAAAACAGAAGCAUAGAAUUCAAGAAUCCAAUUGUCGAAAAAAUAGAAGAUUUGGAAGAAAUGUUGGCUAAUUUAAAGCAAUUACAGAAUAACGUGGUCAAAUCCUUUCUGCUAAAAGACAUUGAUCCCAGAUUACAGAAUAUAUCCCAGCUGCCAGAAAGAGACACACCACUGCAAGGUCAUGAGCUUUUAUACAACCAACCAGAAACUGAAGAAAUGG
Molecule: long non-coding RNA, 554 nt
Organism: Pundamilia nyererei
Lineage: Eukaryota; Metazoa; Chordata; Actinopteri; Cichliformes; Cichlidae
Exons: 3
Source: RefSeq, a predicted model, not a curated record